Molecule: ribosomal RNA, 440 nt
Filed under: uncultured bacterium
Lineage: Bacteria
Description: partial 16S ribosomal RNA
Rfam family: Bacterial small subunit ribosomal RNA
Source: RNAcentral
CCUACGGAUGGCAGCAGUGGGGAAUAUGGCACAAUGGGGGAAACCCUGAUGCAGCGACGCCGCGUGAGGGAAGAAGUAUUUCGGGACGUAAAGCUAUAUCAGCAGGGAAGAAAAUGACGGUACCUGACUAAGAAGCCCCGGCUAACUAAGUGCCAGAAGCCGCGGUAAUACGUAGGGGGCAAGCGUUAUCCGGAUUUACUGUGUGUAAAGGGAGCGUAGAAGGCAGCGCAAGUCUGGAGUGAAAUCCCAUGGCUUAACCAUGGAACUGCUUUGGAAAGUGUGCAGCUAGAGUGCAGGAGAGGUAAGCGGAAUUCCUAGUGUAGCGGUGAAAUGCGUAGAUAUUAGGAGGAACCCCAGUGGCGAAGGCGGCUUACUGGACUGUAACUGACGUUGAGGCUCGAAAGCGUGGGGAGCAAACAGGAUUAGAUACCCGGGUAGUC